UUAAAAAAACUUACAUAAAUAUCUUUCCUUAGUGUGCUACUUGCUUCUAGAAUGUAGAUAAUAAUUUUUUACUUAAGAAAUUUCCAUUAUCUUCCCAAGUCCUGACAUACAUGUUGUCAGGCCUGUUUCAAGCAUUAUAGCUACUAUUUAUUGUUAGUGAAACAUACAAAAGUGAAAGCAUUUCUUUUACAUUUUAGAAUUUAUACAGCAUAUUUCUUUAUUCUUUAAACUCUCACAACUACUUUGUUAGGUAGGUUAUUUCUUUCAUACAAAAAAUAAAACCAAAGUCAGGGAGUCAUCAAUGUCAUUUUUAUUCAGUUCCAUUUCUAAUAGUUUGGCUGGACAUUAUUUCACAACUUCAUAAAUAUUUUAUGUGUCAUACAUUAAAAAGAUGAGACUUUAAAGUUACUAGGAGUAGAAUAAAGUGUUUCCUUCCAGAAAAUAUAAAAGCAUAUAUCCAGCACCAGAGCAGUGAUGAUAUACAUUUAUACAUGACGAUGAUGCUGUGAGGUAUCUUUCCAUAAGAGUGGUGAAGGAUGUGAACUGUCCCAGCCACAUUCUGUCCUCUGGUUCCAUUUGAAAUGCCUGCAGCUAUGAAUAGGCUGGUUGAGGUCAGAGACCUAAAGACCCAGCUUACAACUCUGGCCUUAAUGAAGGCCCCAUCCUCUUAACCACAUGGUCAGAUUUCUCUUCUAAAACAGCAAUUUGCUAAAAUGUUUACCAAAAAUCUAAAACUACUGCUUACUUUCAAAGUGACUAAGAUGUUUCAAGACAGUAGUUAAGUCAAGUCCUUAAAGUUUUACUCCUUAUAUUAUUAUAAUAUCAUCUUUGGUUGAAAUCAUUUUGGAGAAGUUAACUUGUGGCAAUUAACUUCAAAAAAAAAAAGGUGAUUAACCGCCUCUUGGUUACCAUGGAGCCAUUACAUUACAAAUAAAGCACAAAGAUUUUAGGCACUUGCAUGGAUCUCAACAUCUGUUCCAAAUGUACACUCUUCAAGUGAAGAGUCACAGUGUUUGGACACAUCUGAGACACACAACAUAGCCUUAAUCCCACACAUUGAUUUGUUAGUAUACCCUAGCAUGCUAUUUGUCUUGGCAACUUGUGAUUUCAAAAACUAACAGAAGAUGACUUAUAAGGAAACUUUUCCUUUUGUAUAUAGUUUGGAACGUCUGGUCUCAAAAAAGCAGAGACUUCUGGUUUCUGGAGAACAAACUGAAAUAUCCCAAGGGACUAUCUUAAUACUUACUGGAGCUCAACUCAGCCUCUAAAGAAGUAAUAGAGAUGAAAUACUUGGUGAUGUAGUUAAGUACUACCUGAGAGCUCUCGCCUUCCUUUCCUCCUUUUCUGUAAGUAUCUCAGCACCCUACGGAGUUCAGCAAAAGAAAGAGCUGUGACCUGGAAACAGUGUGAAUUACACAGUGAACCACAAAUAUUUGGAACCUGGAAUCAUAAAUCCAUAUGUUUGGAAAAUAAAAUAGAGCUAUUUUUAACUUAAGUGGUAGGUAUGCUUGGUGACAACAUGAAGGUAUUGUACAUGCCACACAGGAAUACUAAAAGUUCCAUGACACUGCUGUGGCAUGAUAAGCACGAAGGUAUAUUAUUCCAGUGGCACUCAGUUUCUCCCCAGUAAUCCCAUAUACGUAUACAUCAGUAUAUUUGCAUGAUUGGCUAAGGACAGCCCUGAUUAAUGGCUGCAUGAAGGAACAAUAAUUAGCAAUCAGAGCAAAUUAAAUUCCUGGCUGAUUCUAAACCCCUGAGUAAAAUGCAACCCUUGAGGAUGCUGUCACAUUCCUUCAUUUACUUGGCAUUAGGCCACCAGUCACCCUGAUUAAGACAGAGGUUUGUACUUAUAAAAAAAAGAUCGAUGUUUGGAAGAGAUAUUUGCCAUUUUUUGCUUGCCUAGCAUCCUAAUCACCUUUCUUCUGGGGGAACCCAGUUCAGGUGGACAGACAUGUGACCCCGGCCUGGUCACGUAGAACCCUCCCCACCCCACCCAAGGACUCAA
Long non-coding RNA from Lagenorhynchus albirostris (white-beaked dolphin), 2005 nucleotides. RefSeq lists it as uncharacterized. The transcript has 2 exons. The record is from RefSeq and is a predicted model, not a curated record. NCBI's taxonomy places the organism in Eukaryota, Metazoa, Chordata, Mammalia, Artiodactyla, Delphinidae.